UACAGGAACGAUUUUCUCCGGAGUACUUCCAGUUUCUCCUGGUACUGGAACAGACCUUAUUAUGUCUUCAUUUUAAAAACAUUUAAAGGUUGUGAAGACGUGUUUCAUAUUGAAGACAUUUUUUCAGAUGUCUGAUUAAUUUCAGGCAGAAUUCAGGCUUAAAAUCUAAAACCGAUUCAGAAUCCUGGUCGGUGAAGACAUUUUUUACAAAAUGUUAGACAUUUGGAAAAUAUACCUGGUAUCCCUGGCUCCGGAGCAUAAGGAAGAAAGUCUUUUCUGCAUUCGCUUUGUUGUUACUGCUAUUUGAUUUGAUAACUGAAAAUUUCAGUAUUCUCAAGCCUUAGAAAAUAAAAUACAUGCAUCAGUUGACCUGCAGCAAACAAUCCACGAAAAUAUCUGAAAGAUAAUGUUAAGAUCCGGUCGAUGCUUCAUGUGAACAGUUCAGAGAGGAAGAUAUGGCACAAGAAGAUAUGAACGACUCUGAACCCGUUGCAGUAAGCGCUGACAGUCUACAGAUAGUUUCCACCAAGGAGAAAGGCGAAACUUUGGUUCACUUGGCUUUUUAAUAUUGUAAACUUUACCUAAAAAUUGAUGGAUCGGCGUACUGAAAGAGUCGGUUCAAUAAUAACAAACGUGCAGCUAACGUUUACGUGUAUCCAGUUUCAAGAGUAAUAUCAUGCCAUUCACAAUCACGAAGAAGUGGUUGAUGGACAGGAGAAUGAACUAGACAAUUCAACGGAAGAUGAAGUUGAUCAGCAUUACAUGAUCAUUGAGGAUGUUGAGGACGAUGAUGAUCAGGAGGCAGAUGCUGACAAACAAUCUUGAAAUGAUGAUGCCUGCAGAUCAAAAGCAAGUUAAGAAAAAAUAUUAAAUAACUACCAAUGUUAAGGGUAGAGAGUAUCUAAUUUACGAGGGUCACCAGUACAGCAAAGAUAAAAAACGAGUUGAUGGUGCCGUAUUUUGGCGCUGUCUUAGAAAAUAUGACAAGUGGAGGGCGACGGCGACCGUUUUUCGUAACGGCAAAGUUGAGACAUGUGGCGAAAAUUUGCAUGAAACUGACAAACGCUAUCUUGCACGGCAAAGGCUAGGUAAUGGCAGUCGGAUGUACCGCAUAACGAACAAUCAGAAAGCAAAUGAUUCUCUGGUCUUUGAAGGUCAUCGAUUUAGCAAGGAAUGGUCUCGGAUUAACGGUUUCAUCAUCUGGCGCACAAGUGGCAUUUGGAAGAUGAAAGUUGUUCUUAACGUGGAUGGGUUCGUCCAUCAUAUGGGAGUAUCUACGAUCAUGAUCAUGAAAAAACAGAGGCACCUGUCACGGAAAAGUAUGCGGCUGAUAUAGUAAGGUAACAGAAAAUUCGUUAAUAUCGCCGGUACGUAUAGUGAAUAGAAAUUGGUCAGCCAACCUGCGCCUGUUUCGUGCCCAAAUUUCACACCUGAGCAACAGGCUGCAAGUGGUUAUCGUAUUGUUAAGAACCGUAAAGGCAAAGCGCGUGUUCGACAGGAUGGUUUGGUUAAAGGGCGGUUGAAAAUGAAUAAGAAAACAUGGCAGGAGGCCGUGAAUUUAUUCCCCGAUAGAACGGUUGCCAAGGCCAGCGAAAAAUUUAAAAUAAAUUUUAUCACUUAUUGUAGCUUAUAUUGUACUUAUUGUAGAUAGCAUUUAUUGUAGAUGAUUUCAAAUAGAGGGAACCGAGGAAUCGAUAUAAAAUUUUACACAGUAUGUAAUCUUAUCUGUGAUCUUACUGUAUGGUAGUUUUUGAAUAAUUUGUGCCCUUUGAAUAAUUAAGAAGUAUUCUUAAUUUAAGUUUCAGACAAUUCAAUCGUUGCAUUUUUACGUUAUGUUGACAAUUGCGAGUGAGGGUGUUUGAAAUACACUAAUGCUAAAUCGUUUUGCCUUUUAAAAUGCUCUAAUGAUUUCAUCAAAGAUUCUUUUUAAUUGCCUGGUGCUAGUAUACCAUUCAGGGACUAAGCGUAAUCGGUUACCACGCUCAGGCAUAAGGUUCGCUUAGUGUACGGAUAUUUUCGCCAGUGUUUAUCAGCUUUGUUAUACCUAUAGGUACUAGCCAUCGAUGAGAUCGAAACAAUCACUGAUAACCGUUUGAUGUACAAGAUUUGUUCCAGCAUGAACGCAGUCCCA
Long non-coding RNA from Topomyia yanbarensis, 2131 nucleotides. RefSeq lists it as uncharacterized. The transcript has 3 exons. The record is from RefSeq and is a predicted model, not a curated record. NCBI's taxonomy places the organism in Eukaryota, Metazoa, Arthropoda, Insecta, Diptera, Culicidae.